GCGUUCAUAGCUCAGUUGGUUAGAGCACCACCUGACAUGGUGGGGGUCGCUGGUUCGAGUCCAAUGAACGCACCA
RNAcentral lists this transfer RNA (75 nucleotides) under Salmonella enterica subsp. enterica. Its description in RNAcentral is "tRNA-OTHER". It matches the Rfam family "tRNA". From Rfam's summary of the family: Transfer RNA (tRNA) molecules are approximately 80 nucleotides in length. Their secondary structure includes four short double-helical elements and three loops (D, anti-codon, and T loops). Lineage: Bacteria; Pseudomonadati; Pseudomonadota; Gammaproteobacteria; Enterobacterales; Enterobacteriaceae. The record is from RNAcentral.